This 256-nucleotide ribosomal RNA is filed under the name uncultured bacterium. RNAcentral's name for it is "partial 16S ribosomal RNA". It matches the Rfam family "Bacterial small subunit ribosomal RNA", at positions 524 to 776 of the family's 1533-position model. The record is from RNAcentral.
GACGUAGGUGGCGAACGUUAUCCGGAAUUAUUGGGCGUAAAGGGUGCGUAGGUGGCCUGACAAGUUAUCAGUGGCAAAUCGAGGCUCAACCUCGUGGAAACUGGUAAUACUGUUCGGCUUGAGUACAGGAGAGGUUAACGGAACUCUAUGUGGAGCGGUAAAAUGCACAGAUAUAUAGAAGAACAUCAAUAAAGGCGAAGGCAGUUAACUAUUCUGUUACUGACGCUGAGGCACGAAAGCUAGGGGAGCGAAUGGG